This 429-nucleotide ribosomal RNA is filed under the name Actinomycetes bacterium. RNAcentral describes it as "Actinobacteria bacterium partial 16S ribosomal RNA". It matches the Rfam family "Bacterial small subunit ribosomal RNA", at positions 355 to 776 of the family's 1533-position model. The record is from RNAcentral. Lineage: Bacteria; Bacillati; Actinomycetota; Actinomycetes.
UAGGGAAUCUUCCGCAAUGGGCGAAAGCCUGACGGAGCAACGCCGCGUGAGUGAUGAAGGUCUUCGGAUCGUAAAACUCUGUUAUUAGGGAAGAACAAAUGUGUAAGUAACUGUGCACGUCUUGACGGUACCUAAUCAGAAAGCCACGGCUAACUACGUGCCAGCAGCCGCGGUAAUACGUAGGUGGCAAGCGUUAUCCGGAAUUAUUGGGCGUAAAGCGCGCGUAGGCGGUUUUUUAAGUCUGAUGUGAAAGCCCACGGCUCAACCGUGGAGGGUCAUUGGAAACUGGAAAACUUGAGUGCAGAAGAGGAAAGUGGAAUUCCAUGUGUAGCGGUGAAAUGCGCAGAGAUAUGGAGGAACACCAGUGGCGAAGGCGACUUUCUGGUCUGUAACUGACGCUGAUGUGCGAAAGCGUGGGGAUCAAACAGG